Molecule: ribosomal RNA, 106 nt
Filed under: Rhizobium quercicola
Lineage: Bacteria; Pseudomonadati; Pseudomonadota; Alphaproteobacteria; Hyphomicrobiales; Rhizobiaceae
Source: RNAcentral
UCUGGCGGGGUGGCCGCACCCGUUCCCAUUCCGAACACGGCCGUGAAACGCCCCAGCGCCUAUGGUACUUCGUCUUAAGACGCGGGAGAGUCGGUCGCUGCCAGGU